Molecule: long non-coding RNA, 4016 nt
Organism: Acinonyx jubatus (cheetah)
Lineage: Eukaryota; Metazoa; Chordata; Mammalia; Carnivora; Felidae
Exons: 2
Source: RefSeq, a predicted model, not a curated record
GCUUCGGAUCACCCCUUCCCAUGGGCCACUGAGGGUCCUGGCUCUCUCAGGAUGGGUGGGAGUAGGGGCUUGGUCAGAUUCCUCUGACCAUCUGCCCGUGGAGAAUGUCCGGAAUGCUCAUGACCUCAGUGAGUGAGCCAAGUGUUUGCUUAAUGGGAUUCCUGAUGGGCUGAGCCAAGGGCACUGGGCACGUGUGUCCAAGUACACACACACCUGGGCAAAAUCCAGGCCUCUGGGCACACACAGACAAGCACAGGUUGACACAUGGCCCUUCUCCUUGGGGAGCCUAGGCUGGGAACACUGUGGCCUUCACCUCCCUGGAGCAGGGCGGCGGGGGGCCUCGGCAGGGCCAGCCAAAGAGCUGAGUCCAGGAGCUGGCAUCUGGGUUGGGGAGCAGCUGGGGGAGGGGCCGCCUACGGGCCCAUUCCAGUCAGCUGACCGGGGCAGGGGAGCUGGGCAACCCCAAGGGAACCGGACAACACCUGGGGCCCAGGCUGCACUUUGGUUUUACUGCGGCCAUUUUCCGGGUGCAAAGGGAAGGCCAAGCAGGGUGCCUGGCUGGGCUGUGGAGGAGGCCCGAGCAGGGCAGGGAGGGUGGAGGCACCAGCCCCAAGUUCAAAUUCCAGCUCGCGCAGGCAGGCCGAGUGACCUUGGGGAGGAGUCGGUUUAAAGCCCAGAGGAAGCUGGGCGGAGCCCUGGAACGGGGGACCCCCCCCCGCCCAGGCACUGGCUGUGCUGGGGUCUGGGAGCUACAGGCUGGGGAGGGCCCAACCAGACCCCACCCACCCCCAGAGCCGGGGCGCCCGCGGACGGAUAGGUGGAUCUGGAGCCCCUCACCCCGGAGAUGCGCCGGUGUGACCGAGCAGGGCAAGGCUCUGAGACCUUCGCGAGGCAGCCCUGGAUGAGCCCUAGCAGAUGCCAGGUACCCCCAGCCUCAGCUGCCGCGGCAGAGGGGCUCUCUCUGGGGCCCCGGGAGAGACUCCCCUCCCCUUCAGCUGGCCCCUCUGCUCUGGAGGGGUGGGGGAGUGCUAGGGCCAGGCUUUAGUCUGCAAGUGGGUGUCAAAGUUAUGAUCAGAGGCCAGAGACCCCAGGGCUCUGCGCGCUGAGUCUCCCAGGCCGGAGAGGGGCCCUCCCCUCCACAAUUCAGGAGAUCCUAUAGUCUUUUCCAGUAGCCUCAACCAACAUGGGCAUCCCCAGAGGGAUGUGGGUGUCAGACGGGAAGGUGGGGAUCCUGUGGCCCAGACUGUUCACUGGUGCCAGGGACCAGAACAGGUGGGGGAGGGCACUCCUGGCAGUGCCCCCCUCCUUAGGCCCAGGCCCCACCCUCUGCCCUCAGCGUAGGGCAGGUGUCCUGAAUGGACUCCCAGGACGCCCCUGCUCAGCCAGCUGGCUGGGAGGAAGUGAAGGGGCAGAGGGCAGGUCCGGGCAGCGGUGGGCACCCCCAGGCCCGUGCAAGGACCCAAGGGCUCUGGCUAUGAUUCCUGGGGUGGUGUGGGGGUGGAAACGGGUGUGUCAGGAGGCAGGGGCCCAGGGCAGUUGGCCUCGUUUGCCUGGCACUGACGUGGAGCGCUUCCUGGGGAACCGCCUGGGGAAGGGAGGCACACUGGGUCCUGGAUGGUCGGUGGCACUGCCUUUUCACGGGUCACGCGGACCCCGGGGGCGGGUCUCCCUGCCUGCUGUCUGAAGCAUCACAGGUGAGCUCUCCCAGGUGGGGCAGGAAGUGGCCUUCUCCUUGGGCCCAGCCCUGCCCCCGAGCCCUGGCAGGACCUGGCUUCCUGGUUCUCUCUCCUACUCUGCUGAGCACUGGAAGAGGAAGGCCCGGGCCUGCCCUCGUCCUUCCUGGAGACGGGCAAAAAGUGGGAAGGCCGGCACACAAGGGAGCAGCUGAGGUGGGGACUGUAUCACUUCUGAAAUGAAAGUCACUGUCCCCAGACCAGGACUGACCCUGAUCAGGAGGCAGGAGAGAGCCUGGAGUCCCAGGCUGGCUGGUGGCCACGUGGAGCUGUGGUGCCCUCCGUGGCAUCUGACCGCCACCUGCAUGUAAACAAAGUGACAGGGGUGUCCGGAGCCCAGCUCGGGGCAGGAGAUCAUGAACCCUGAAGGCCACAGGUGUCCGGCUGCCAGAGUCUGCAGGGGAGCUGGCUGGGCGCUCCCAGAGGCAAGCGCACCCGUCCCGUCCUUCCCGAGUCCGCACGGCGCCAGCAGCAGGGAAGGCAGCGGGGAGGCGGGAGGACGCCCGCUGGUCCAGAGCCAGAGUGGGCAGCGCAGAGAGGUCCUGCUCCCACUUGCCCCUGCCAGGACAGAGGCCAUGGGGGGGGGGGGGCGCCGCUGCGGCCCCUCGAGGAAGCCAGUCCCCGUGGAGGUCCUGGACUGGCCCUGAGGCCUGGCUUGGCUGUCCUCCGGGGGAAGCCCUCCUCCUGGGGCUGCUGGGGGAGGCCUGGAUGGGGUAUGCGCUCUUGGGUAUGGAAGAGGUGGGCGGCCUCAGGAGGAAUUCAGGGAGGUAUAAACAUUUAUUUCCACAAAAUGGUAGAGAAAACGUCCAGAUACCCAACGUUUUGUUCCAGACGUGGACGGUGCACAGCGUGAACAGGUAAAGGUCCUGGAGAGCAGGAGCUCGGUGUCUUCCCGGAGCCAUUACGAUCUGCGAAGGGGGAAGAGGCACAAACAGAAUGCGAGGAGCACAGUGCAAACGUCCCUGGCGUUUUAAUGACCGAGGCUUGGACGUGGGGGCGCUGAGGCACCGGGCUGGGGCAGUGGAGGGCCGUUCGCCGCUGGCCCACUCCCUGCCUCCCUCCCGUCAGUGCCAGGGUCUCGGCCCGUCCUUCCUUCAGGAGCCCCCAGGGGAGAGGAGCCGCAGCUGCCGACAUCCCCCCGGACACCAGGGCCCAUGGUUCCUAAGCAGCUCGGGGCCUGGCUGCCCGCUUCCCAUGCUGCCCCUGGAGCCCCCGGCAGAGCAGCAGCACGGUGGGUAUGGAACACGCACCGCCCCGGCCUGCGCCCUCACACCCACGGGGGAACCGGCAAGACACGGCCAGGCUGCUCCUCCCGGCAGGGAACGGUGGUUUGUGGCCACAGCUCGGCCACCUCCUUUCCCAAGGGCCUGUUCCCUUCUGGGUCGGGGGUCAGGGCAGCUGCCGGAGGGAGAUCCUCACCAGCCAAAAGCGGGGCCUGAGCAGAUGUUCCCGCGGUCUCCCUUCCCGACCCUUCGUGCGGCUGUUCCCGGCAACUCCCCCGGCUCUCUGCUCUGCCCUGGGUUCCUGACCACCCCACCACCCAAAAUUCGCAAACCACUCCAAACCGUCCUACCCGUCCACACCGGUGCCCUUCCGUCCAGCACUGGGGGAGGAGACGGCCGAGCUCCCGGGCGGGGGCUUCUGUGCAGAGCUGUCCUGCCCGGCAAAGCCGGGUGCUGCCCGCCUAGCUGACAAAGGCAGCAAUGGCCACCAGCUGCAGGACGGCCUCCAGGCCGUGGAGCGUGAGGAGCGCGGCGCCGAGGGUGGAGUCGGCCCGCAGCACCAGCGUCUGCCAGAGCAGGAAGUAGGUGGACAGCAGGGCGCCACCCGCCGUAAGGACCAGGCUGCCGGCCAGCGGCACCUCGGCCUCCAUCAGGUUGCCCUUGGUGCCUGGAGAGGGGGACAAGCGGACGAGUGGGCACCGGGACGCCUACUCGGACGCACGUGCACCCAGGACGGCCCCGAGGCUGCAGGGAGGCCAGACGCGAGCUCAUCGCCAGCACAUCCCCCUGGACAUAGGGCUGACGGCUCCCAGGGAAAGGAUCUAUGGUGGCCACCACAUCACUCAGGAAAUGUCACAAAGCAAAAAUGCUGCCGAGGGGUGUGCUCUCCCCAGUGAGGAUAGAACCAAGUGCAGUUGUAAUUUUUGAACCUCAGUCUCUGGGUCAGUUGUCGGGGUGGGAGAGGGAACUUGGUUUUCUAAGAAUGAUCCCAAUUGCAUUCGGACACCUUUCCCUAAUUCCAAGUGGACUGAGGAGAUUUUGUUUAAAAUUUCCAAAAAUA